CAUUCUCCAUUUACUUCCUUGUAUAUAUUCAGGCCCAUCGCCGCCUGCAUUCUGCUAGAUUGUCUAUUAUGCCAUCCUAGCUGUAGCUUUCAAGCCUUACUGACCAGUUUUUGGCUGCCUCUUUUGACCUCCUGCUUGUUUUUGGACUUUGUGUUUUGUCUUCUCCUUUGCUUUCUUUUGCUCUGGUUCUCCUGCCUGCCUGUUGCCAACCACUGCUUGCUCGCUGGCUUUGCCUCCAGUUUAUUCUUGUCUACUUUUGUCUGGUGAGUCUAAAUGAAGGUGACUAUUUUUGAACUUUUUAUCAGUGUCUGAGUCCCGCAUUUGGGUCCUUCCAAUCCUGUUCCACGACAGAAUAUGUCAGCAGAUCAGCAGAGAGGUCUAGCUUCAACAUUUAAUCCAUCAAACCAGAGGGCAAACUUGUUGCACAGGUGAAAAAUGUCUUUCGCAAGGUCCACGUAGUGGAAUUUUUCAACUGACAACCUUCAUCAAUGGUUGGAUUUUACUUAAAUGGCUUAGUAGUUAUAACGUCACCUAAAGUAUGGAACUUCAGUCACGUAUAGAGUCUAUGGGAAUCUUUUUGACCAUCCAAUGACCCCUGAUCGAUGACCUUGGACCCUUCCUAAAAGGUGCUGACUCUGGAUGGAUUGUCUGAUUUUCAUCCACAUUAGAGAAUCUGGGUCUCUAGGCAGUCCAGCGACUGUCAUUGUGCACCACAUUGACAAUGGGAUGACAUUUUGACACGAUGCGUUUCAGCUGCCUUUUUCAGUCAUCCAACUCACACUCGUCUGACAGAACAGAUAUGCUCCUUUCAGUCCAGCUGUAAUAAUAAUAUGUAUUUCCGCCCCUGCUGCUAGAGUUUGGAUCUGUGACUGAAAACCACCUACUGCCCCCAUGAUCCUGCUCAACUACCACUGCUUCAAAUAUUAUGAUUAUCAACUAUUAUAUUUAGAUUUAUUAUUAUUAUUAAUCGCUCUAUACUAUAAUUUUUUAGUUUUAUUAUUAGUCUUAUUAUUGUUACACAUCUUUAAGUUAUACUUCCACUGUGCUCAGGUCCAUCUUCUCCUGCUCAUCCAGCUACUUAUCUGCUGCUGUUCCAGCAACCCAUAACCUCUGUUAUGAAUUGGUGCUAUAUGAAUAAAAUUGAAUUGACUUGACUUCUGUGGAGACAUGGUGUAAGUUAUUAUUUUAACCCAAACUAUUAUCUUUCCCUAUAGCUAACCAAGCCUUAACCUUAGUGUAUUCACAUCAUAAUAUUUAUGUAGUUUUCAUCACUGAUUUGUAACCAUUUUGGAAGGCACAGACAAAUAAUGCCAUACUGUACUGUAAUUUGGAGGACUUGUUGGAAAAAAAAAAUGCUUUUUCUUUCUUCUAUAGUUUUCUCUAGUGUCCGCAAACAUUCAAUGAAUGUAAAAACUGCAGAACUGACAUUCCAUGCUAUAUGAACUGAAGAUCAAAUAAAAACUAUUAACCCCUCAUUAUCUUAAAGUGACAUUUCUCGCAAUAAAGGAAAGGUUCAUAUUGUACUUUGCAAAAUCACAGACAAACCAUUUUCAUGCUAAAUACUCUAAUUCACUGUCAGAUAUUUCUCCUCACUCUGAACAUGUCUCCACGAGCAAAGGAUUUCAAUAAGUCAAGUAUCUCUGAAAAUAUAAAGAUAAUGAGAAAUUCAAAAUAACACAGUGAGGGAAAAAGUCAAUAUUUGAGGAUGUGAGGGAGUGGAAAAGAGUCACAGAUGCAUUAAACCCAUUUAUGAAGCCCACAACUCCCUUUCUUCCACAACAGUAUUGAGAGGGAAACUGCAAAUCAAAUUUUCUACGCAUCUCAUAAGUGGUGGACCGUCCACACUCACUUAACACUCUAUUGUGCUUUCUUUCUCUGUUUUCAUUCUUUCUCUGCUAGUUUCAGUAAUUGCCAAGUCCUCUGGUGUGGAGUGUAUUAGGACAUCAUCUGGAGCAUUCUGUUGAGCUUUUUUAUUUAGCUGUAUUGUUUUAGCAACAACUGUGUGAUGCUGAGAGAUACUUAUACGUAUGCAUGGUUAGGAGGGUGGGUUGGGUUGGCAUUUGUGA
Xiphias gladius (swordfish) is the source of this 2066-nucleotide long non-coding RNA. RefSeq lists it as uncharacterized. Lineage: Eukaryota; Metazoa; Chordata; Actinopteri; Istiophoriformes; Xiphiidae. The record is from RefSeq and is a predicted model, not a curated record. The transcript is spliced from 3 exons.